GACUUGAGAAGAGUCAAGAGAACGUGAAACUACCACGAGGUUAAAGCGGAUGUACAUUCGUGGCUGAACGGGGGGUCUCAUCUCCUCGAACCUCUAGGCGGCGUCGUGUUCGGACCGUCUCCGUCCUGUCCCGCGAGGGGCGGGCUCCGGAGCUGGCCGUCGCGUCGUCGGACUCGGGGGAAAGGGGGGUGGAUUUCCUCCCUUAGUACGCAGUCGCGGCCGCUCGUCGGUCGUCCAAGGCUCGGAAGUUGGGAACAGUCCGGCGCUCACGCGCCGGCUGGGACGCUACCUUGAUUCUGGCGGACCUUCGGGCGGUUUAACGGACGAGACGGGGAUUUUAAACGCCUCGCCUCGUACGCGGCCGAAUGAGCGAUCGUUCAUCCGUCCCGUCUUGAAACACGGACCAAGGAGUCUAACAUGUGCGCGAGUCAAAGGGCUGGCUAAACCCCUAGGCGCAACGAAAGCGAAAAAGGCCUCUUCGGAGGCCGUUGGGUCGAUCCGUGCUCCCUUUAGUGGACCGGCGCAGACCCGGGGCUCGCCGUUACCUCUUCGUUCCCUCGCAAGGGGGUUCGCGGCGGGCGGCGGGCACCUUGAGCGUACAUGCUAGUACCCGAAAGAUGGUGAUCUAUGCCUGGCCAGGACGAAGCCAGAGGAAACUCUGGUGGAGGUCCGUAGCGAUUCUGACGUGCAAAUCGAUCGUCAGAGCUGGGUAUAGGGGCGAAAGACCAAUCGAACCAUCUAGUAGCUGGUU
RNAcentral lists this ribosomal RNA (751 nucleotides) under Asellus aquaticus. RNAcentral describes it as "eukaryotic LSU rRNA". It matches the Rfam family "Eukaryotic large subunit ribosomal RNA", at positions 372 to 956 of the family's 3401-position model. Lineage: Eukaryota; Metazoa; Arthropoda; Malacostraca; Isopoda; Asellidae. The record is from RNAcentral.